This 947-nucleotide long non-coding RNA is filed under the name Lactuca sativa (garden lettuce). Its description in RNAcentral is "long non-coding RNA (LSAT_LNC004291)". Lineage: Eukaryota; Viridiplantae; Streptophyta; Magnoliopsida; Asterales; Asteraceae. The record is from RNAcentral.
AAGUACAGAUCCAAUAAUAACUCAACUUAGUCAACUUGAUUCCUCAAAGCAUUAAACUCAACAUUACAUUCGUUGACAGUGGUAGUGCUUUUCAAUUUUUUGAGCUCAAUCAACAAUUUAAAAAGAUUAUUUCAAAUAAUUGCUCCCUAAAUAAUUUUGCCAAGUCAUGUUCUAGCCUCUUGAUUCCUUCAUGAACCCUUAAUGCCAUUAUACAACCCUUCCUUUCAAGUGAAUAAGAACAACUAAUCUGAUCUUCAUGUUUUUAGGGGUUUCAUCUAAUUCAAAGAACUCAUUUAUAAGAGAUCGACAAGGUAAUGUGGUCCUUUGCAACUAUUAGUAAAAAUUAAGUAAUUAAUGAACUCAAAGAUUAUUGGACACGCUGCAAGCAAGUAAAAGUAAAAGUCAAUAGAUUCAGUUAAAUCUAAAUUCAAUAUUAAGAGCAUGAAUUUUGAUAGAAAUUUAAGUUAAAUCGAUUUCAAAGUUUCAUCCUGCCAAAAACCCUUACUUAUAAAUUAAUCUAAAUCAUUCAUUCUCAUUCUUCAAACUUUGAGAAUUGAAUUAAAUGGAUUGAUGAUUAAAACAAUAAAAACUAUAUAUAUAAACUAGAAGUACGAACAAACAAUUUUUGGAGAGGUUUAGGGCACUAUCAUUAGUAAUUAUGCUUAAAUGAGUUGUAGAUUGUGCAUAAGAUGUAUAAACUUGAACAAAAAUGUACUGGGAAGCUCACAUGGAUCAUGUUUGUAGAGAUUGAUCAACAUCGAUGACAAUUGAUGGUGGAGGAGCGACACCAACGAACUUUAUUGUUGAUUGAGACUUACGACAGAGAUAGUGUACGAUGAUCUCCUCGUUAGUGGGGCGAAAUCGGAAACCGACUGAUUCGAGUGAAGGCCCGGUGGUCUCAACGGUGGUCCGGAGAGAAAACUACACAUCUGAUAGGGUGGGGUGAG